ACAUUAACUAAACCAAAUAACAGUCCCGGACACAUUCUUCUUCCUGCACCAAACGGAAUAAAUUCAAAGUGGUUUCCUCUGAAAUCAAUAGAAUUAUUCUCAAAUCUCUCAGGUAUAAAACUUUCCGGAUUAUGCCAAUUUGUAGAUUCUCUUCCAAUUGCCCAUACAUUCACCAGAACUCUAGUUUUGAUGGGUAUUAUAUAUUUGUCAAUUUUUGUUUCUUCUCUGCAUUCCCUUGGGAUUAAUAGAGGAACAGGAGGGUGCAACCUUAAUGUUUCUUUAAUCACUAGGUUUAGAUACUUCAACUCUUCUAGAUCAAUAUCCUCAAAUGUUCUCUUUCCUUUUAGGACUUCUCUAACUUCAAGUUGUGCUUUAGCCAUAACACUUGGAUUUCUUAUCAUUUCAGCCAUAGCCCAAAUAAUUGUUGUAGCUGAGGUUUCAGCUCCUGCUAAGAACAUGUCCUGCAUGUAAAGGCUAACGUUUCAAUAUUGUACUCUAGCAUAAAUAUUAACUUCAAUGUUUAAAUACUAUAAAUAAUAAAAUGAAAAAAGAAAACAAAAUGAAAUAUCUCAUAUGGUAUUAGACUUACAAAAAUAACACUUUUGAUAUUCUCAUUUGUGAUUGGAGUUCCCAAUUCGCCACUCUCCAUGACUCGAAGUAGAACAUCGAUCAAAUCUUCACCUCCAGUCUCACCAUUGCUCUUCUUUCCGUUAGCUCGACUUUCCUGAUGCUCAUUAAGGAUAUUCUCCAAAAUUGCAUCUACCUUUUUGUGAACCUUCAACAUUUUGGACUUCAAUCCAGUAAUCUUGUGAAGCCAUUUUCGGGAAGGGAACAUAUCAGCCAAGUCAAAUCCUGCAGCUAAUGAUGAUAUGUCCUUCACCAACAUUAUCAACUUAUCUUGAUCAUGAAUCACUUUCCCGAAAGCUGACCUACAAGUUACUGAACUUGUAAACCAAAACAUUUUGUCUGAUAAGUUAAUCAAUGAGUCAUCAGGCAUGGAGUUAACGGAUGAAAUGAGACUUGACAUCUGUGCUUGUCGAAUUGAAUUAAAUGACUUGACCAUCUUUGCGCUAAGAAGUUCCACGAUGCACACUUUGCGCAUAUUUCUCCAGUGAUCACCAUAUGGACAAGUUAUAAUGUCUGUGUAGUUGUAGAAAAUAAUAUCUCCGGCCAUAAAUUCAGGCCUAGUAGCAAAGCGAAGGUCUUGAGUUUUCAUAAUUUCUUUUGCCAUCUCAGGUGAAGAUACAACAAUGAUCGAUAUUUCUCCAAGACGUAAGUGAAAGAUUGGCCCGUAUCUUCGCGAUAGACUUCUGAGAGUAUGAUGUACUGGAAGGCGGCCAUUCAUAAAUAGGUGCAAGUUCCCAA
RNAcentral lists this long non-coding RNA (1365 nucleotides) under Nicotiana tabacum (common tobacco). RNAcentral describes it as "long non-coding RNA (NTAB_LNC006458)". Lineage: Eukaryota; Viridiplantae; Streptophyta; Magnoliopsida; Solanales; Solanaceae. The record is from RNAcentral.